GACUUCCGCAGGAGAAAAAUGUGGAAUCCCAGACUAAAAUCUCCCACAAUCUCCCACUGGAGAGGUAAUGUCUUCAGCCUCACAUGGAGCCAGGCCUGGCCUGGCUGGGAAUGCCCCUGGAAUGCAGCUGGCAGCGAGAGCGAGUUGGCCCCUUUCGUGCAGGUGCCAACAGGGAUUGCUGACGGGGCUUUCUGGGAGGGAGCUCAGCUGCUCAGAGCUCCCUUUGGUCUCCUAAAUGAAGCUCUUUUGCACAGCACCUGAAGGGAAGCUGUUGGCAAAGGUUUAUUUACCACGAUCAAGUUCUCCAUCUAUCCACUAACCUGCAUGUGCAGAAAGGGGACUGGACGAAACUGAAGGUAAUUGUGAGACAUUUUUCCACCCAGAGCCUGAGAAGACCUCCUCUACUAUACAAAUCCACAAACUCUUCUCGAGAUAUCACUUCCUAGCUUUUUUUUCCAGGCCACAAAACCAUUUGAAUUAUUAUCAGGUAACAUGUUAGGUAAACAGCUCGUAAGUUUAGUUAAUGGACAAUGUUAUUUGAGAAGCAAAUGAUGCCAGCUUCCGAGUCCAGGCACCCCCCAGGUUCAGAUGCUGGCACCCUCAGCUUGUUCUGUCAGAGCUCCCAGGUACUGCAUCCCUGCAGACAGAGCUGUCUCUGUCCCAGCAGAUCUGACAGUUGGAAAUACCAGCAGCACUCAGAGACUGGAGAGCUGGCAAAUGUGAGACAUGGCAGGAAAAGCUUUAUACACUGAGCAGAGGCUGGGAAAAACUUUGUGAGCUCUGGUCACAGGUCAGAGAACAGAUGAAAGUGCAACAAGUGAUGGACACCACUGGAGUUCUGUGUGUACUGAGGUCCAGAGGUUGUCACUACAGAUCAGGUAUUUCCAGCAGUUUUUUUCUUUAUGCAAGUUGUAAAAUAUUUCCCAAAAGUACUGGUUAGGUGACAGGAUAAUCUGCUCUGAAUCUAUUCUUGCAAGGACAGGGCUAGAUCCAUCAUGACCACAACCUGCCAGCACUUCAUACAACUGUGAUCCCGUGUGAAUCAGAGAGUGACCGUGAGCUCCAAGAGCAGAGCCCAUGAAGAAGGCAUGUCUUGGAGCAGGGUGAGGAAUGCAGAGGCGUGUGCUGCAAGGUGUGGCAGGUAUGUGUGAGCUGUUAAUGACUGUGCUGAAGAAAUCUUGGUGAUGCAGAGGUGAAGGAGUCCAAGAGCUGGAGGAGUCCACAACCCAUGCUGUGGGAUCAGCUGAAGGACUGAUCUGUA
Molecule: long non-coding RNA, 1261 nt
Filed under: Lepidothrix coronata (blue-crowned manakin)
Lineage: Eukaryota; Metazoa; Chordata; Aves; Passeriformes; Pipridae
Description: lncRNA (ENSLCOG00000014817.1)
Source: RNAcentral